This 340-nucleotide ribosomal RNA is filed under the name uncultured Glomus. RNAcentral's name for it is "SSU rRNA". It matches the Rfam family "Eukaryotic small subunit ribosomal RNA", at positions 569 to 915 of the family's 1831-position model. The record is from RNAcentral. Lineage: Eukaryota; Fungi; Glomeromycota; Glomeromycetes; Glomerales; Glomeraceae.
AGCAGCCGCGGUAAUUCCAGCUCCAAUAGCGUAUAUUAAAGUUGUUGCAGUUAAAAAGCUCGUAGUUGAAUUUCGGGGUCAGCAGGUUGGUCGUGCCACUGGUAUGCACUGGCCUUGGUGAUUCCUCCUUCUUGAAGAACCGUGAUGCCACUCAGUUGGUGUUGCGGGGACACAGGACUGUUACUUUGAAAAAUUAGAGUGUUUAAAGCAGGCACAUGCCUGAAUACAUUAGCAUGGAAUAAUGGAAUAGGACGAUCGAUCCUAUUUUGUGGUUUCUAGGGUUGACGUAAUGAUUAAUAGGGAUAGUUGGGGGCAUUAGUAUUCAAUUGUCAGAGGUGAA